This 944-nucleotide ribosomal RNA is filed under the name uncultured bacterium. RNAcentral describes it as "bacterial SSU rRNA". It matches the Rfam family "Bacterial small subunit ribosomal RNA", at positions 54 to 995 of the family's 1533-position model. The record is from RNAcentral.
AAUGCAAGUCGAGCGGGGGUUAUUGGGGUGCUUGCACCCUGGUAAUUCUAGNUUGCGGACGGGUGAGUAACACGUGGGUAACCUGCCCUUAACAGGGGGAUAACAAUCAGAAAUGGUUGCUAACACCCCAUAAGCUCACGAAGCGGCAUCGUUUAGUGAGAAAAUAUUUAUAGGUUAAGGAGGGGCCCGCGUCUGAUUAGCCAGUUGGCGGGGUAACGGCCCACCAAAGCGACGAUCAGUAGCCGACCUGAGAGGGUGACCGGCCACAUUGGGACUGAGACACGGCCCAAACUCCUACGGGAGGCAGCAGUGGGGAAUAUUGCACAAUGGGCGCAAGCCUGAUGCAGCAACGCCGCGUGAAGGAAGAAGGGUUUCGGCUCGUAAACUUCUUUAGGCAGGGACGAAGAAAGUGACGGUACCUGCAGAAUAAGCCCCGGCUAACUACGUGCCAGCAGCCGCGGUAAUACGUAGGGGGCAAGCGUUAUCCGGAAUUACUGGGUGUAAAGGGUGAGUAGGCGGCAUAGCAAGUCAUAUGUGAAAGCCCGGGGCUUAACCCCGGGACUGCAUAAGAAACUGUUAAGCCUGGAGUACAGGAGAGGUAAGCGGAAUUCCUAGUGUAGCCGGUGAAAUGCGUAGAUAUUAGGAAGAACACCAGUGGCGAAGGCGGCUUACUGGACUGAAACUGACGCUGAGUCACNAAAGCGUGGGGAGCGAACAGGAUUAGAUACCCUGGUAGUCCACCCUGUAAACGAUGAGUGCUAGGUGUUGGGGCCGAGAGCCCUCGGUUGCCCGCANCUAACGCAAUAAGCACUCCNCCUGGGGAGUACNGUCNCNAGAUUGAAACUCCNAGGAAUUUGACNGNGGGCCCGCACAAGCGGUGGAGCAUGUGGGUUUAAUUCCAANCCACCCCNAANAACCCUUACCAAGGCUUGACNUGGACCCCA